RNAcentral lists this long non-coding RNA (762 nucleotides) under Coturnix japonica (Japanese quail). Its description in RNAcentral is "lncRNA (ENSCJPG00005016113.1)". The record is from RNAcentral. Lineage: Eukaryota; Metazoa; Chordata; Aves; Galliformes; Phasianidae.
UGUGGGAGUACUUGUAAGGUUACUACUUUCAAAGAAGUUUAAAUGUCUCAUUUAGCAAGGCUUUAUUAGGAGAAAGAUGCUUUCUGCCAUUCCUUUUAUGUGUAUGAUUUGGUUGUCUUAGGACAAUUGCUAUAUGUACCCAUACAUAAAAUUCUUAAAGCAGUUUCUCAAGCUGGUUUUGCUGAAGUGAGGUCUAAGCAUGGAGCAAGAAACUUCAGGUUAAAUGUACAUGGAAUAAACUGAAAGACGGAACAUUCAGUCUCAUAUUUGCUGUGAAUCUCUUGCAGGUAAAUUUUUACAGGUCUUCAAAUGACAUCUUUUAUCAGUACCAGUGGUCUGUAGUGCAUCAACAAGGAGAAUUUUGACUUGAAUACAACAUUCUUGAAUAUGAAGACUCAUGACUAUAUAAGACAUAGAUCCUAUUUCCAUCCUUACGCUGGAAAAAUCCCUUCAGGACAGAAACAGUGCUUCAGGACAGAAACAUUGGACACACCUUUAAAUGCAUGCAGAUCUUGUAAGAUGUUGCAUUUUGUUUCCAGAGAAGGUGAUACCAGUCCCUGAAUAAUUUUGCCAGUGAUCUUCUAUCAGCAUAUCAAAAAAACAAUUUUGAAAAACUUGGACAAGAUGAGAGGAAAAAAAAAGUGCUGAAAGAAAAUCAGACUAGCACAAAUUCAAUCAGUGACAGGAACUGAAGUUUCAGAAGCAGAUGCAAGAAAUUUCAUGUGCAUUCAGUAUGGAAAUAAACUGCAUAUGAGGGGUGCA